Molecule: ribosomal RNA, 159 nt
Filed under: Sclerococcum deminutum
Lineage: Eukaryota; Fungi; Ascomycota; Eurotiomycetes; Sclerococcales; Dactylosporaceae
Description: 5.8S ribosomal RNA
Rfam family: 5.8S ribosomal RNA
About the family: 5.8S ribosomal RNA (5.8S rRNA) is a component of the large subunit of the eukaryotic ribosome.
Source: RNAcentral
AAAACUUUCAACAACGGAUCUCUUGGUUCUGGCAUCGAUGAAGAACGCAGCGAAAUGCGAUAAGUAAUGUGAAUUGCAAAAUUCAGUGAAUCAUCGAAUCUUUGAACGCAUAUUGCGCCCUUUGGUAUUCCGAAGGGCAUACCUGUUCGAGCGUCAUUA